RNAcentral lists this ribosomal RNA (604 nucleotides) under uncultured bacterium. RNAcentral's name for it is "bacterial SSU rRNA". It matches the Rfam family "Bacterial small subunit ribosomal RNA", at positions 882 to 1490 of the family's 1533-position model. The record is from RNAcentral.
CGGACCGCAAAGGUGAAAACUCAAAGGAAAUGACGGGGGGCCCGCACAACCAGUGGGAGUAGGGGGUUUAAUAGGAAGCAACGCGAAGAACCUUACCAGGUUCUUGACAUCCUUUGCAUAACCUAGAGAUAGGUGAAAUCCUUCGGGACAAAGUGACAGGUGGUGCAUGGUUGUCGUCAGCUCGUGUCGUGAGAUGUUGGGUUAAGUCCCGCAACGAGCGCAACCCUUAUGUUUAGUUGCUACGCAAGAGCACUCUAGACAGACUGCCGUUGACAAAACGGAGGAAGGUGGGGAUGACGUCAAAUCAUCAUGCCCCUUAUGACCUGGGCUACACACGUACUACAAUGGCUGUAAACAAAGGGAAGCGACGUCGCGAGGCGAAGCAAAACCCAAAACACAGUCCCAGUUCGGAUUGCGGGUGCAACCCGCCUGCAUGAAGCCGGAAUUGCUAGUAAUCGUAGGUCAGCAUACUACGGUGAAUACGUUCCCGGGCCUUGUACACACCGCCCGUCACACCAUGAGAGUUGGCAACACCCGAAGCCGAUGGUCUAACCGCAAGGAGGACGUCGUCGAAGGUGGGGUUGAUGAUUGGGGUGAAGUCGUA